AACGAACGCUGGCGGCAUGCCUAACACAUGCAAGUCGAACGAGACCUUCGGGUCUAGUGGCGCACGGGUGCGUAACGCGUGGGAACCUGCCCUUAGGUUCGGAAUAACUCCCCGAAAGGGGUGCUAAUACCGGAUAAUGUCUUCGGACCAAAGAUUUAUCGCCUUUGGAUGGGCCCGCGUUGGUUUAGCUAGUUGGUAGGGUAAAAGCCUACCAAGGCGACGAUCCAUAGCUGGUCUGAGAGUAUGAUCAGCCACACUGGGACUGAGACACGGCCCAGACUCCUACGGGAGGCAGCAGUGGGGAAUAUUGGACAAUGGGCGAGAGCCUGAUCCAGCAAUGCCGCGUGAGUGAUGAAGGCCUUAGGGUUGUAAAGCUCUUUUACCCGGGAUGAUAAUGACAGUACCGGGAGAAUAAGCACCGGCUAACUCCGUG
This 433-nucleotide ribosomal RNA is filed under the name uncultured bacterium. Its description in RNAcentral is "partial 16S ribosomal RNA". It matches the Rfam family "Bacterial small subunit ribosomal RNA", at positions 29 to 507 of the family's 1533-position model. The record is from RNAcentral.